AAGGUUUUAUUAUAUUUUAGUAUACUUAAUUGCAGAUUAGGGGGAUGGUAGCCUUU
Molecule: transfer RNA, 56 nt
Filed under: Baylisascaris transfuga (bear roundworm)
Lineage: Eukaryota; Metazoa; Nematoda; Chromadorea; Rhabditida; Ascarididae
Description: tRNA-Cys
Source: RNAcentral